CUUGCGCCUCCUUCGUAGUCUUCCACAUCCUGACUGCUUCUCUCCUUCCUUCUUGACGGGAGAAGCUUAGUGCGGCAGGAUCGGGCCCUAGAGCGCGUGCACGGGGCCCCUCGCGCCGAGGGGGACGCCUGGGGCGAGCCUGGCUCCCUUCUUGCAGCGCGUGACCCUCGGGUCCGGUGCCUCAGCCUCAGCCUGGCGGUGCUUGGGAUUGGGGAGGGUGGCUUGCUUUCACAAACCUGACCUCCAGCCGUGGCUGUUGGCCGCUCUGCCUCGCUUCUCUGCGCUCUAGCGGGGAGAUGGUAACUCCUGGAGUCCGCGCGCCUGGUACUCGAUGGCCGUUUACUCCUUCCCCAGGGAAGCCUUUAAGCGCCGUUCCUUCAGCGAUUGUUAAUAACGCCCCGCGUUGGGAUGCGCUGUGGGUGCAGUGAUCGGGCCGCAACUUGGGUGAGGCGUGAUAAUAGGCUCCCGAUUAACACAACCUCUUAUCUCCGGGAUUGGCGGCCGGCGAGGCCGAGCCACGAUGAAAUGAUGAACCUUUUUGGUGGCGCACUUGAUUACGGGGUUAGGAAAGGUCUUCGGUGGGAAGUAACAGCCGCCGGCUGUGAGAAACGGCCACGUGGGCGUACGGCGCCCUCUAGAGGAAAUGGACAAGGGUUCUCAUGCACAGAAAUAAGUCUAGAAGACACUUGGGGUGAGUUCCUUAAACAUGUGGAGCUACUAAUCCAGUGCACUCUGGUUGCCCUUUGGGAGUGGUUUAAUGCAGUGCUUGUAGAAAAUGUUGUUUUUUCAUUUAACCUGUGGAAAAUUUGUUAACUAGCCCUUGGAGACUUAAGUGUCCUGGGAAACAGUCCUGGAAUUGGUUCCCACUUAAAUCUCCGAUGUCAGAUGAUGUCAUUUUUUAGUGUAUUUUCAAUAUCCAACGUAGAUGCUCUGUAGAGAUGAAUCUCUUCAGGCUGUAUCUUUGUGGCGGAAGGGAGUGUAGGGCUCUGCCCUGUGACAUAGAGUCCCAUUCCACAACGUUGGAGAUCAAGCUGGGCCUUGUGUCUGCACCUGCAUAUUCCUAAACCUUCUCAGAGUCCUGCACUGUGACUGAGGAGACAAACCAUGCAGGAAAUAGUACUAUUUUGCCCAGAAUAAAAACACUUUUUUAGUGUUUUGCAUGUUUUACGUAAGGCCGGAAUAAAUCCUUCUUGUUUUUAGGACCUUCUUCAUCCGCAGUUUCUUUUCCUAGAAUAGAGGUGAGUUGUUGGUGACCGGACCAGUCAUGGAAAAUUACCAGACUGCAGACCUUGCAACAAGCAACAGAUGGCGGCCUAAUGGCCAGGAAAGCGGAAGGACCCCCGCACCUCAGAACAUAUAUCCAUGGUAAGAUUUUGAAGCAUUCGGCUAGUGAAGUUAGUCAUGCAUAUGAUUUUGUUGCCCCACAGUUGAUAUCUUUUUUAAUGAUGAUUUUUAAAUUGUUGGGUAUUGUAGCUCUUAAUAUGGGUAAGUCAAGGAUCAUUCCAAGUGCGCAACAAAAGGGAAUCGGUAUCUCUCCAAAGCACAAAGGUAAAUUGUAGAAAAAGGAAAAACAAGUCUUGGCUGCUGGAGGAGCUGUAGUUGCUUGCUUCCUCCAUAGUGAGCGAUAGGCUAGAAAUUGGCAGGAUGUGCAGACCAGUAAGAAGGCAGCAGCUGAUCACAACUGAAGAGAAAUGGCUAAUUAUGAGCAAGACAAUACAAAGACUGAAUGCUGAAGAUUACAAAUAAUUUUUACUGAUAAGAAUCAAACCAAAUGUCACAUGGAAAUGUUUUGGGGGGUUUUACACUUCUGUUAGCUUGGAAGUCUUGUCCCCAUUGAAGAAAGUUAGAAAGAGAGUGCUAGACUGAAAGGGACAAUUCCAGAAUUGCAGAAAAUCCCAAUUGGAGAGUUAAGUGUUGCAGUAUUGUAUUGCAUCAUUCUCUUCCUAAAAAAAUUUAUCCAAAAAAUGGAGAUAUACGUGCUUUGGGAACUCUCCUGAUUUAAAUCCUAUGGAGAUCUGUGGGAUGGGAAUUUGGUCCAGAAAUGGACUGCUCUUCACCUUGGCUGUGUGCCUUUGAAGAUGGUUUCAUUAUUAUAAAACUUUGUCCAUGCUGAAUCGUGUAAAGCAGGCAAUUGCAGCAAAAAAACACGUAGCAUGUUAAAUGUUAACCCUAACCCUAAAAAUCUUUUUUGUAUACAUUCAAUAAAUUUUACUUGUCCCUGUUGA
This is a long non-coding RNA of Sarcophilus harrisii (Tasmanian devil), 2225 nucleotides long. RefSeq lists it as uncharacterized. The record is from RefSeq and is a predicted model, not a curated record. NCBI's taxonomy places the organism in Eukaryota, Metazoa, Chordata, Mammalia, Dasyuromorphia, Dasyuridae. The transcript is spliced from 3 exons.